This 426-nucleotide ribosomal RNA is filed under the name uncultured Paenibacillus sp. Its description in RNAcentral is "bacterial SSU rRNA". It matches the Rfam family "Bacterial small subunit ribosomal RNA", at positions 355 to 774 of the family's 1533-position model. Lineage: Bacteria; Bacillati; Bacillota; Bacilli; Caryophanales; Paenibacillaceae. The record is from RNAcentral.
UAGGGAAUCUUCGGCAAUGGACGAAAGUCUGACCGAGCAACGCCGCGUGAGUGAUGAAGGUUUUCGGAUCGUAAAACUCUGUUGCCAGGGAAGAAUAGUUAGGCGAGUAACUGCGCUUAGCAUGACGGUACCUGAGAAGAAAGCCCCGGCUAACUACGUGCCAGCAGCCGCGGUAAUACGUAGGGGGCAAGCGUUGUCCGGAAUUAUUGGGCGUAAAGCGCGCGCAGGCGGUUAAGUAAGUCUGGUGUAUAAACCAAGGGCUCAACCUUUGGACGCAUUGGAAACUGUUUGACUGGAGUGUAGGAGAGGAAAGUGGAAUUCCACGUGUAGCGGUGAAAUGCGUAGAGAUGUGGAGGAACACCAGUGGCGAAGGCGACUUUCUGGCCUAUAACUGACGCUGAGGCGCGAAAGCGUGGGGAGCAAACA